Molecule: ribosomal RNA, 494 nt
Filed under: Microbacterium aquimaris
Lineage: Bacteria; Bacillati; Actinomycetota; Actinomycetes; Micrococcales; Microbacteriaceae
Description: bacterial SSU rRNA
Rfam family: Bacterial small subunit ribosomal RNA
Source: RNAcentral
AAUGGGGCGAAAGGCCUGAUGCAGCAACGCCGCGUGAGGGAUGACGGCCUUCGGGUUGUAAACCUCUUUUGGUAGGGAAGAAGCCUUCGGGUGACGGUACCUGCAGAAAAAGCGCCGGCUAACUACGUGCCAGCAGCCGCGGUAAUACGUAGGGCGCAAGCGUUAUCCGGAAUUAUUGGGCGUAAAGAGCUCGUAGGCGGUCUGUCGCGUCUGCUGUGAAAUCCCGAGGCUCAACCUCGGGCUUGCAGUGGGUACGGGCAGACUAGAGUGCGGUAGGGGAGAUUGGAAUUCCUGGUGUAGCGGUGGAAUGCGCAGAUAUCAGGAGGAACACCGAUGGCGAAGGCAGAUCUCUGGGCCGUUACUGACGCUGAGGAGCGAAAGGGUGGGGAGCAAACAGGCUUAGAUACCCUGGUAGUCCACCCCGUAAACGUUGGGAACUAGUUGUGGGGUCCUUUCCACGGAUUCCGUGACGUAGCUAACGUUUUAAGUUCCCC